Molecule: transfer RNA, 78 nt
Filed under: Acidobacteriota bacterium
Lineage: Bacteria; Pseudomonadati; Acidobacteriota
Description: Acidobacteria bacterium (soil metagenome) tRNA-Asp
Rfam family: tRNA
About the family: Transfer RNA (tRNA) molecules are approximately 80 nucleotides in length. Their secondary structure includes four short double-helical elements and three loops (D, anti-codon, and T loops). Further hydrogen bonds mediate the characteristic L-shaped molecular structure. tRNAs have two regions of fundamental functional importance: the anti-codon, which is responsible for specific mRNA codon recognition, and the 3' end, to which the tRNAs corresponding amino acid is attached (by aminoacyl-tRNA synthetases). tRNAs cope with the degeneracy of the genetic code in two manners: having more than one tRNA (with a specific anti-codon) for a particular amino acid; and 'wobble' base-pairing, i.e. permitting non-standard base-pairing at the 3rd anti-codon position.
Source: RNAcentral
GGGACUGUAGCUUAGUUGGACAAAAGCACCUGAUUGUCGAUCAGGAGAACGAGGGUUCAAAUCCCUUCAGUCCCGCCA